ACUCCUACGGGAGGCAGCAGUGGGGAAUAUUGGACAAUGGGCGCAAGCCUGAUGCAGCAACGCCGCGUGAGCGAUGAAGGUCUUCGGAUCGUAAAGUUCUGUCCUCAAGGAAGAUAAUGACGGUACUUGAGGAGGAAGCCCCGGCUAACUACGUGCCAGCAGCCGCGGUAAU
This 172-nucleotide ribosomal RNA is filed under the name uncultured bacterium. RNAcentral describes it as "partial 16S ribosomal RNA". It matches the Rfam family "Bacterial small subunit ribosomal RNA", at positions 335 to 524 of the family's 1533-position model. The record is from RNAcentral.